GACGAACGCUGGCGGCGUGCUUAACACAUGCAAGUCGAACGGAAAGGCCCUGCUUUUGUGGGGUGCUCGAGUGGCGAACGGGUGAGUAACACGUGAGUAACCUGCCCUUGACUUUGGGAUAACUUCAGGAAACUGGGGCUAAUACCGGAUAGGAGCUCCUGCUGCAUGGUGGGGGUUGGAAAGUUUCGGCGGUUGGGGAUGGACUCGCGGCUUAUCAGCUUGUUGGUGGGGUAGUGGCUUACCAAGGCUUUGACGGGUAGCCGGCCUGAGGGGGUGACCGGCCACAUUGGGACUGAGAUACGGCCCAGACUCCUACGGGAGGCAGCAGUGGGGAAUAUUGCACAAUGGGCGGAAGCCUGAUGCAGCAACGCCGCGUGCGGGAUGACGGCCUUCGGGUUGUAAACCGCUUUCGCCUGUGACGAAGCGUGAGUGACGGUAAUGGGUAAAGAAGCACCGGCUAACUACGUGCCAGCAGCCGCGGUGAUACGUAGGGUGCGAGCGUUGUCCGGAUUUAUUGGGCGUAAAGGGCUCGUAGGUGGUUGAUCGCGUCGGAAGUGUAAUCUUGGGGCUUAACCCUGAGCGUGCUUUCGAUACGGGUUGACUUGAGGGAGGUAGGGGAGAAUGGAAUUCCUGGUGGAGCGGUGGAAUGCGCAGAUAUCAGGAGGAACACCAGUGGCGAAGGCGGUUCUCUGGGCCUUUCCUGACGCUGAGGAGCGAAAGCGUGGGGAGCGAACAGGCUUAGAUACCCUGGUAGUCCACGCUGUAAACGGUGGGUACUAGGUGUGGGGUCCAUUCCACGGGUUCCGUGCCGUAGCUAACGCUUUAAGUACCCCGCCUGGGGAGUACGGCCGCAAGGCUAAAACUCAAAGGAAUUGACGGGGCCCCGCACAAGCGGCGGAGCAUGCGGAUUAAUUCGAUGCAACGCGUAGAACCUUACCUGGGUUUGACAUGGAUCGGGAGCGCUCAGAGAUGGGUGUGCCUCUUUUGGGGUCGGUUCACAGGUGGUGCAUGGCUGUCGUCAGCUCGUGUCGUGAGAUGUUGGGUUAAGUCCCGCAACGAGCGCAACCCUUGUUCACUGUUGCCAGCACGUUAUGGUGGGGACUCAGUGGAGACCGCCGGGGUCAACUCGGAGGAAGGUGGGGAUGACGUCAAGUCAUCAUGCCCCUUAUGUCCAGGGCUUCACGCAUGCUACAAUGGCUGGUACAGAGAGUGGCGAGCCUGUGAGGGUGAGCGAAUCUCGGAAAGCCGGUCUCAGUUCGGAUUGGGGUCUGCAACUCGACCUCAUGAAGUCGGAGUCGCUAGUAAUCGCAGAUCAGCAACGCUGCGGUGAAUACGUUCCCGGG
Molecule: ribosomal RNA, 1343 nt
Filed under: uncultured bacterium
Lineage: Bacteria
Description: 16S ribosomal RNA
Rfam family: Bacterial small subunit ribosomal RNA
Source: RNAcentral